Molecule: long non-coding RNA, 3933 nt
Organism: Phycodurus eques (leafy seadragon)
Lineage: Eukaryota; Metazoa; Chordata; Actinopteri; Syngnathiformes; Syngnathidae
Exons: 3
Source: RefSeq, a predicted model, not a curated record
UCCGCGGUGUGGGACAGACAACACGUCUGAGACUGACGACAGGUCUGAGACUGACGACACUUAAUGCCGGGAUCAGACUACAAGACAAAUUUGCUCUUUCAUGAUUACACUACGCCAGACUACUGCAAUAAAAUCUUGUAUUCCGAUACCACCGCAUCCCGUUUUUUUACGAUGCUUUAUCUUGUCAAAUGCGACCGGAUACACUCGCCACCAUGGCGACGAGAAGAAGAGUGGAUCGCGCCGACUGUAUUAUAAGGUAAAGAGACUGGAUGUUUUUUUUCCCAUGCGUCACCGUCCCUGUUGAUCUGUGACUCCAUGCCCGCCCAUCUCACAGCCGCGGUGAAUGGAUUGUGGAUGCUUGGGCUAAGGUAUCUACUUUGACUGUUGUCCGAGCUUUCGCGAAAGCCGGCAUCAUUGCUGAACAGCCCCCCGGCAACGAGACUGACUCCGAAAAUGAUGAGAGGGAACCUGCGGUGUUUGAUGGAGAACUUGCCGAGCUGUUCAUUUUGAAUAGAGAAUAUGAGGACUUUGAUGGAUUUGUGGAUGAGGAUUGAUUAAAAAAUAACGCUGAGAUGCUGGAUGCUGAGGCACUGCUGUGUGUGGUUGAAACUCCACAACCACUGAGCCUUGACUGACCCUCGCCGGCACUCCCACCGCUGUUCACACCUGAAGUACCAAAGCAAAGAGUUUUCAGUACGAAAUCCAAGAAAAGAACAAGAGAAAAUAUAAUAAUCACAUAGACUCACCGCCCCUCCAGGACACACCAGCCACAGUACGGGUCAUUGGCAGACAGACAAGACUGGCAAUCCAGGUGAUCGCCACAUUCUGCCACAGGACGCUUCUCUACCUGAAGAUAAAAUAUAUCCUAUGAACUAACAUGUAUUCCACUUAUAUUCAUUCAGGGUCACAAAUUUAUAGAGUGGAUCCUGUGAUGUCAAACGGUUUGGUGUUUGAAACCAUGAGUAAAACAAAAUUAAUUUUCAAGGAAAACCCGGGGGGGGAAAGAACUCAUUGUCAACUGUGGUACUAAAAAGUAAGGUUUGGUACAUGUUUUUUUUUUUUUUUUUUUUUUAAACUCACAUUUAAUUUAACUUGCAGUCCCUGUACAACCGGUGUUCGAGUUUGAUCCGCAUUGGAGAUAGGACGUCGGAUUUCCUUUCCAAUGAUGUGGUUCUUUUGUCUUUAUCAAGCCACCAUCUUCAAUUCUCACUAGAACGGUUCACAGCCGAAUGUGAAGCACUUGGGAUGAGAAUCAGCACCUCCAAUCUGAGACCAUGGUACUCAGUGGGAAACGGGUAGAGUGGCUCUCCAGUUUGAGGAUGAGAUCCUGCCCCAAGUGGAGAGGUUCAGGUAUCAAGGGGGCUUGUUCACAAGUGUGAGGGAAGAAUGGAACGGGAGAUUAACAGGCGGAUCAGCGCAGCGUUUGCACUUAGCAGUCAUGCAGACUCUGUAUUGGUCUGUCAUGGCGAAGAAGGAACUGAGCCAAUAGCGAAGCUCUCGCUUUACUGGUCAAUCUAUGUUUCUACCCUCACCUAUGGUCACGAGCUGUGGGUCGUGACCGAAAGAACAAGAUCACGGAUACGAGUGGUCGAAAUUAGUUUCCUCCCCAGGGUGUCUGGGCUUUCCCUUAGAGAUGGGGUGAGAAGCUUGGUCAUCCAGGAGGGAUUCAGAGUAGAGCCGCUGCUCCUUCACAUUGAGAGGAGCCAGAUGAGGUGGUAUAGGCAUCUUGCUAAGAUGGCCCCCGGAGACCUGUGCGGGCAUGUCCCACCAGGAAGGUGAGGAGGCCCGGGAUGAUUUUUUUAUACAUACAUAACGAUUAACUAUGCUUAAAAAAAACAAUUAAAAAAUUACAUGCAAAGCAUUAAAAUGUUUUGGAUCCAAACCUUUUGAUUUGUAUGCCUCAUCAUGCAGUGUGCCUGCCAUCAUCAGUUGUCUAAUUUCCCUCACGGGAUGAAUAAUCAAUCAAUCACUAUCCAGCUAUCUUUCUCAAGUACCUGUCUAUCUAUUUAACGUUCUAUCCAUCCAUCCACCAACAUGCUCCAUCGCAUUAGUUAAAUAAACCUAAAAUAACGUUGGAAAGGGCGGCAUGGUGGACGACUGGUUAUAGCGUCUGCCUCACAGUUCUUGGGACCGGGGUUCAAUCCCCGGCCCUGCCUGUGUGGAGUUUGCCUGUUCUCCCCGUGCCUGGGUGAGAUUUCUCCGGGCACUCCGGUUUCCUCCCACAUCACAAAAACAUGCAUGGUAGGUUAAUUGAAGACUCUAAAUUGCCCGUCGGUGUGAAUGUGAGUGCGAAUGGUUAUUUGUUUAUAUGUGCCUUGCGAUUGGCUGGCAACCAGUUCAGGGUAUACCUUGCCUCCUGCCCGAUGAUAGCGGGGAUAGGCUCCAGCACUCCCGCGACCCUAGUGAGGAUAAGCGGCUCAGAAAUGGAUGGAUAACGUUGUAAAGUUAUUUCUGUUACUUAUUUAAUAACACACCAAUUGGAAUAAUCACCUUUUCAAGAAGGUAUAACUGUGGAUUGAUCAACGCAGCACAACUUGUACAUAACACACCAAAAAAAUGUGCCAAAAUCUGUUGCAAUAUUUUGCUGUUGGUAUUCACUGUUGUUUUGAGUUGCUUGGUGGACUGGAUGACUGCACUCUACUUCAGUAAUAAUAAAAGAAAUAUAGAUAUUGGCCAUGCUUAUACAUCUUUCAAUUUACACUGUCAGGGAUCUCAGCAGCAUGUGGAAGAUCAAUACGCAGUCACAACAGCUUGGCACUUCCUCUGCAUGCUGGUCAAACCUGCCUGGUCACCUGGCUUCCCAUUCUUCAACCAGGAGUUGUUAAAGGUCUGCUAGUAUUGGUUGUGUUGGAUACUCUGGCACAUACAACAGCGCAAGCUGAUAAAUCUGGUCAUAUACUUGUGACCAGCACAAAGCUGGCAGCACUUGAUGAUCAAAACAAGAAUAUUAAGAUGAGAAUAUUGCAGGGGAUUUUGGCACAACAUAAAAUACAAUAUAAACUGGUAUCACUAAAUGGGAUGAAUAAUUAAUGUCCAAACUUUUAAAAAAAAACAAAAAAAAGGUAAUUAUUUGAAAAACUUGAACAUCCAUCCCAUCUAUCCAUAUUCUUUACUGCUUAUUCUCAUUAGGGUCACAAGUGAGCAGGAACCUUUCCUUUUGGCGAGAGGUGGGUACACGCUGGACUUGUCACUAGUCCAUUUUUGUGUCUUCAAUUAACCUAACAUACAUGUUUCUGAAAUGUGGGAUGAAGCCCAUGUACCCAGAUAAGACCCUCACAAGCACGGGGUCAACAGGCUAACCUCCCACAGGAAGGCUGGACUGAACCUCAGCACUGUUAGGCAGACAUGCUAACCACUAGGGCAUCAUGCUGGUGUAAUGGACACGCUCUCGCCAGAUGGCACCAUGACCCCCAAUCUCGGACUGGGACUGCAUCCUUGUCUCCGCUCCACCACUGAGACAGACGGUCACAGGGAUGCCUGGUUUGUCUCACACGGACGCUAAAUGAAUUACCAGCCAGUCUGAAAGAGCUCAUCAAAAGCAGAGACCAGGAAUCCUGACUUGUCACCUGGAGUUUAAAUUAAUUAACAGUUACCCCAGAAAUCUGGGGUCCCAGUCAUCAGAAGACCCCCUGUGUGUGCAGGGCUCAAGAUACUGACCCCAAAAAGAUUGAAAAUCCGCUGGUCCCGCAUGCCAAGAUAAAAUUUUAAAGGACCAUUUGCCCUUUGAAAUGCAACUCAAGACCUCUGGGACAAUUGAUGGAGUCCAGCGAGACCCACUGGCGGUGGAGGGUCACUGCCAACGGACAGCACUCGGGACCAGCGUCACCGAAUUUGAAUGUUGUGUGACAUUUUUAAGAACUUUGCAUACAUGCUCCCAGUCUCCUUUACCAAUGUUUGUCUGUCCUUUGUUUUGCUUUUCAUUCCUCUGUAGAU